UCGCCUGUUUAUCAAAAACAUAGCCAUUAGACGAUAUUUAUGGUUAAACCUGCCCAAUGUUUAAUAAUGAAUGGCCGCGGUACCCUGACCGUGCUAAGGUAGCGUAAUCAGUUGGCUUUUAAAUGGAGUCAGGAAUGAAUGGGAAAACCGGGUUUAGCUGUCUCUUAAUUAUUAUUUUGAAUUUACUAUUUAAGUGAGAAAGCUUAAUUUUGGAAAAGGGACGAGAAGACCCUUAGAAUUUUUUUUAAAUAGUUUUAAUUUAACUUUAUGAUUUUAUUGGGGCGAUAAAGAAAUAGUUAAAACUUUCUGUAAAUACAAGCCGAUUGUGUUAAGUAAGAAUAAAUUACCUGAGGGAUAACAGCAUAAUUCUAUAGUUGAGUUUGUGACCUCGAUGUUGGACUAGGAGACUAGCAGGCUAGCCGUUUGUUGAGUUGGUUCUGUUCGAACUUUAAUUCC
Molecule: ribosomal RNA, 456 nt
Filed under: Babakina anadoni
Lineage: Eukaryota; Metazoa; Mollusca; Gastropoda; Nudibranchia; Babakinidae
Description: partial 16S ribosomal RNA
Rfam family: Archaeal large subunit ribosomal RNA
Source: RNAcentral